CAAGUAAAUCAGAUAGCCGCAGGCUUAAGCUUGAGGAAAGUCGGAGCUCCAUAGGGCAAGAUGCUGGAUAACGUCCAGUGGGGGCGACCCUAAGGCUAGUGCCACAGAAACAAACCGCUUCGGUGAUGAAUACGAAGCAAGGGUGGAAAGGUGAGGUAAGAGCUCACCAGCGUUUAGGUGACUAAACGGCUCGGUAAACCCCAUCUGGAGCAAGACCUAAUAGGGGGACUAUGAAGCGGCCCGUUUCGUUCCCGGGUAUGGUCGCUGGAGGUGUCAGGCGACUGGCAUCCAAGAUAGAUGGCUAUCAAAUACAGAACUCCGCUUAAAGAUUUACUUGCUUU
This 341-nucleotide RNase P RNA is filed under the name Syntrophomonadaceae bacterium. Its description in RNAcentral is "RNase P RNA component class A". It matches the Rfam family "Bacterial RNase P class A". Rfam says of the family: Ribonuclease P (RNase P) is a ubiquitous endoribonuclease, found in archaea, bacteria and eukarya as well as chloroplasts and mitochondria. Its best characterised activity is the generation of mature 5'-ends of tRNAs by cleaving the 5'-leader elements of precursor-tRNAs. Cellular RNase Ps are ribonucleoproteins. The record is from RNAcentral. Lineage: Bacteria; Bacillati; Bacillota; Clostridia; Eubacteriales; Syntrophomonadaceae.